UGCGGUUUAGUGUAAUUAGCACACAAAGUUUUGGUCUUUGGAGUUGAGGUCUUAUCCCUUGAAUCGCAA
RNAcentral lists this transfer RNA (69 nucleotides) under Lingula anatina. RNAcentral's name for it is "tRNA-Gln". Lineage: Eukaryota; Metazoa; Brachiopoda; Lingulata; Lingulida; Lingulidae. The record is from RNAcentral.